RNAcentral lists this non-coding RNA (139 nucleotides) under Streptomyces xiamenensis. RNAcentral describes it as "SAM-I sequence". It matches the Rfam family "SAM riboswitch aptamer (S box leader)". From Rfam's summary of the family: The SAM riboswitch is found upstream of a number of genes which code for proteins involved in methionine or cysteine biosynthesis in Gram-positive bacteria. The SAM riboswitch acts at the level of transcription termination control. The record is from RNAcentral. Lineage: Bacteria; Bacillati; Actinomycetota; Actinomycetes; Kitasatosporales; Streptomycetaceae.
AGCUCAUCCAGAGGGGCAGAGGGAACGGCCCGUUGAAGCCCCGGCAACCCUUCCGCCGGUCUCGUGACGAUGCGAGGCUCCCGGUGGGGAAGGUGCCAAUUCCGUCCUGUGGCGAAAUCCGUCACGGGGAAGAUGAGGG